UUGAUCCUGGCUCAGAACGAACGCUGACGGCGUGGCUAAGACAUGCAAGUCGUACGAAGUUUUCAAUUGAGUAAUCGAGAGAAAACUUAGUGGCGAAAGGGUGAGUAAUGCAUAGGCAACGUACCCUGGGCACCGGGAUAGCUACGGGCUUCGGCCCUUUGCGAAAGUGUAGGUAAUACCGGAUAAUAUCUUCGAAUCGCACGGUUUGAAGAUCGAAGGCUUCGGCUGGCUUGGGAGCGGCCUGUGUCGUAUCAGCUUGUUGGUGAGGUAAUGGCUCACCAAGGCAACGACGGGUAGCGGGACUGAGAGGUUGGCCCGCAACAUCGGGACUGAGACACUGCCCGGACCUCCACGGAGGGCUGCAGUAACGGAUCUUGCGCAAUGGGCGAAAGCCUGACGCAGCGACGCCGCGUGUAGGAUGAAGUCUUUCGGGAUGUAAACUACUGUCAGGUCCUAGAAAGUCUUCGGAUUGAUCAGGACCAGAGGAAGCCACGGCUAACUUCGUGCCAGCAGCCGCGGUAAUACGAAGGUGGCUAGCGUUAUUCGGAAUCAUUGGGCUUAAAGCGCGCGUAGGCGGAAUAGUAAGUGUCUUGUGAAAUCCCUCGGCUUAACCGAGGAAUUGCUUGGCAAACUACUAUUCUUGAGACAAGUAGGGGUGCAUGGAACUCUUGGUGGAGCGGUGGAAUGCGUAGAUAUCAAGAGGAACGCCUGUGGAGAAGUCGGUGCACUGGGCUUGUUCUGACGCUGAGGUGCGAAAGCGUGGGUAGCGAAGAGGAUUAGAUACCCUCGUAGUCCACGCCGUAAACGAUGUCUACUAGGUCGCGGAAGUUCUGACACUCUCGCGGCCGAAGCAAAAGUGUUAAGUAGACCGCCUGGGGAGUACGGUCGCAAGGCUAAAACUCAAAGGAAUUGACGGGGGCUCACACAAGCGGUGGAGGAUGUGGCUUAAUUCGAGUCUACGCGAAGAACCUUAUCCUAGAUUUGACAUGUUUGGAUGCCCUCUUCGAAAGGAGAGUAAGCUGCCUUCGGGUGAAACAAGCACAGGUGCUGCAUGGCUGUCGUCAGCUCGUGUCGUGAGAUGUCGGGUUAAGUCCCUUAACGAGCGAAACCCUUAUCGUUAGUUGCCAGCGAGUAAUGUCGGGGACUCUAGCGAGACUGCCGGUGUUAAACCGGAGGAAGGUGGGGAUGACGUCAAGUCCUCAUGGCCUUUAUAUCUAGGGCUGCACACGUCCUACAAUGGUACAUACAGACCGACGCGAUACCGCGAGGUGGAGCAAAUCGGAUAAACGGGGCCCCAGUUCGGAUUGCAGGCUGCAACUCGACUGCAUGAAGCCGGAAUCGCUAGUAAUCGCGUAUCAGCUAUGACGCGGUGAAUGUGUUCCUGAGCCUUGUACACACCGCCCGUCAAGUCAUGGGAGCUGGGAGUACCUGAAGUCGGGUAGCUAACC
RNAcentral lists this ribosomal RNA (1448 nucleotides) under uncultured prokaryote. RNAcentral describes it as "partial 16S ribosomal RNA". It matches the Rfam family "Bacterial small subunit ribosomal RNA". The record is from RNAcentral.